CGUUGCUUAGUAACCUUAAAAUGUGUGCUUUUAACGGUAUAAAUACGGUAAAUAUUUAACUCUGUGAGAUUAUCAUGAACUAAUACUCUUCAAAAUUUCGUUAGCCAGGACUGAUCUAGUGCAAGAUGAAGUACUGUUAACUUUUAACGAGAACAAGCAGAGUUAAGUUUUCGUUAUGGAGAAUGGAGAAUGUGUUUGGGCAGAGUCGGACAGAUUUUAGAAAAUCGCUAGGGUACCAUCCUGCAGAAGAUGGUGAACAUAUUUAUUAAUAAUAAGCACUGCUACAUUUGACUAGAAUAUGAUAGAGGAGGGAAAAAUCCAACAGGCGAAUUAAAAGCCCGUGCUAUAAUACCACUCUUUCUUAACUUUAACUAUCUCAUCAAUCAAGGUUCUUCAAAACUGUCUUCUUCUCUGUUGGUAGGUUAUACAUUUGUGUCAUUGUAAACUUAAAGUUAAAUUAUUUAAACGUAAUUAAAUUGAUACAUCUCACUAAUUCAAUAUAUUUAUCCAGGUGUUUGGGCAGAGUCGGACAGAUUUUAGAAAAGCGCUAGAGUACCAUCCUGCAGAAGACGACGAACAAAUUAGCACUGCUACAUUUUACUAGAAUAUGAUAGAGGAGUUAUACUGUUAUUCUCCCCUUUGCUUUUUCGCUGAAGCUCGUUUACAGACAACACUUCCCCUGGAACUGGAUCACGAUCACGAAAGAUAAAACCCGAAGGAUAAGAUUUUCAACAGAACCAAGAGCGGUACCCAAAUCAACGAUGUGGUUUGCAAGGGAAGCAGUGGUCAAAUAUCCUGUUCAAACUAAACAGAAUUCUCGUCAGAUCCGUUACUGAUGGACUGACCUGCCAUUGUGUGAUACUGAUAGUCGCCGAAGGAUCUCUCUGACAUGAAAACGGCUAUACUGACGUCUGACAAAGUUACUCAGAAUGUUCUUUCUUCUCUAAUCUCUGACUCUCAUUUUGCUGUGCCGGAGCCCGGAAUGUCGUGCCCUUAUUAUUUCUGGAAGAUAAUGUACUGCUGGGAAUAAUCUAUACUCUAUUUCUCCUGAAACUGUAAAACAUACAGUAGUUACUGCCAAAACUUUCUUCUACAAAUCCUCUACAAUGAUGCCGAACGCUUGAACUUGAAGAUUGAGUUAAUCUUCAAGAUGUUGCUCCGAUCAAAGAAUUUAAGAUGACAAUUCCAGUUCAUAAUGUUACACUGUGCACGGGAUUUAGAAAGAUAAACAUUAUAUAUUAUAAUCCGUUGUUUCAAUAUUUUGUUUUCUUUGUUAAUCACUAACUGAUCGAUGAUCUAACUAGGUUUUAUCUCUAACUUAAACUGUGAUCUGAGAGAAGCUUUAUCAGUGUGUAGUGUGCGUGCAGUACUGCGCCGUGACGUAAUAGGACAAAA
This is a long non-coding RNA of Bolinopsis microptera, 1395 nucleotides long. RefSeq lists it as uncharacterized. The transcript is spliced from 5 exons. Lineage: Eukaryota; Metazoa; Ctenophora; Tentaculata; Lobata; Bolinopsidae. The record is from RefSeq and is a predicted model, not a curated record.